This 214-nucleotide long non-coding RNA is filed under the name Vitis vinifera (wine grape). RNAcentral's name for it is "long non-coding RNA (VVIN_LNC002205)". The record is from RNAcentral. Lineage: Eukaryota; Viridiplantae; Streptophyta; Magnoliopsida; Vitales; Vitaceae.
UGGGAUAGGUCCAUACGAGUUAGGAAAUAAUCAAUUUGGAUUUUAUGAUCCUUGUUCAAUCGAUGUUAAUAUGACUUUUAUAACUUACCGUUGUUCUAAAACCUUUUUUUUUUUUUCAAUUUAGAUUCCUAAUUACUGUCAAAUAAAUGAAAUUCAACUUAGUUUCAAGUCUUAACUUUUAAAUCCUUACUACUCCUUGUAGAUUUGUCUUAGA